Molecule: ribosomal RNA, 459 nt
Filed under: uncultured bacterium
Lineage: Bacteria
Description: partial 16S ribosomal RNA
Rfam family: Bacterial small subunit ribosomal RNA
Source: RNAcentral
CCUACGGGUGGCAGCAGUGAGGAAUAUUGGUCAAUGGACGCAAGUCUGAACCAGCCAUGCCGCGUGCAGGAAGACGGCUCUAUGAGUUGUAAACUGCUUUUGUACGAGGGUAAACGCAGAUACGUGUAUCUGUCUGAAAGUAUCGUACGAAUAAGGAUCGGCUAACUCCGUGCCAGCAGCCGCGGUAAUACGGAGGAUUCAAGCGUUAUCCGGAUUUAUUGGGUUUAAAGGGUGCGUAGGCGGUCGGAUAAGUUAGAGGUGAAAUCCCGGGGCUCAACUUCGGAAUUGCCUCUGAUACGGUACGUCUAAGGAGUAGUGGCGGUAGGCGGAAUGGAGGUGGUAGCGGUGAAAGGCUUAGAGAUCAUACAGAACACCAAUUGCGAAGGCAGCUUACCAAGCUACUUCUGACGUGGAGGCACGAAGGCGUGGGGAGCAAACAGGAUUAGAAACCGUGUAGUC